GUCGUAACAAGGUUUCCGUAGGUGAACCUGCGGAAGGAUCAUUACCACACCGAUCCAAGAUCUUUUUCACCGCGAACCGCGGUCCCAUGGAAGCUGGUUGGGUUUGUCGGGUGGGCGUUGUAACGACGCCGGCUCGACCGCCUGCUGGUGGGACUGCACCCUGAAUGUGCUGUGUUCUAUUUGACUGCAGCGCGCUCCGUCACUUUACGACGUUAACCGGUCUUGACCAAACGAACUGAACCAAAAGGGUUGGUUGCGACUGAUGCCGGUAACAUGGCACAGGAGCACUGCCCAUGUAAACAAAAUACCUUACAACUUUCAGCGAUGGAUGUCUAGGUUCCCA
Molecule: unclassified non-coding RNA, 343 nt
Filed under: fungal sp.
Lineage: Eukaryota; Fungi
Description: partial internal transcribed spacer region
Rfam family: Eukaryotic small subunit ribosomal RNA (bases 1-44)
Source: RNAcentral